This 78-nucleotide transfer RNA is filed under the name Enterobacter ludwigii. RNAcentral describes it as "tRNA-Arg". It matches the Rfam family "tRNA". From Rfam's summary of the family: Transfer RNA (tRNA) molecules are approximately 80 nucleotides in length. Their secondary structure includes four short double-helical elements and three loops (D, anti-codon, and T loops). RNAcentral also lists the same sequence under 9 other names. The record is from RNAcentral. Lineage: Bacteria; Pseudomonadati; Pseudomonadota; Gammaproteobacteria; Enterobacterales; Enterobacteriaceae.
CGGGGUAUAGCUCAGCUGGAUAGAGCAGUGGACUUCUAAUCCACAGGUCGACGGGUUCGAAUCCCUCUACCUCGACCA